UGGACCGGAGCGACUAACGCGUCUCCCAGCAACUGUGAAAGUCAGGCACUCUGGGCAGGUCGCGGAACCUGGCAUCUCCAACCCCGGGGGGUGCCCACUGCGCGGAGGGAGCUCUGGAGAAGCGCGCAGGCUGCUGAUAGCUGUCUGGACCCCCACGGGGGCCUUCUCCUCCUCUCUUCGCCCCAAUGACAAACACACAUUUUCCGAUUCGCGUGAAAGAAGCCAAUGGGGGGCAGGGCCCGGGGUCAGUAGUUCCGCCCGCCCCCCAGCAUCGCGCACAAGGUCGCCUCCUUAUUGCAUAAUUAUGGGAUGGAGCCUGCCCGAGCCUCCCUCCAUCCGCGAGAUCCUUCUGUCGCUCCAGCGGGAUGGAAGGCUACUCCCAACCCCGGUCCCGUCCACCUGGGGUCGCGCGCGGCCCGCCCUGGCCCCCAGCUCACCUCGGAGCAGCUGGGCUCCCCAGGUCUCGGAGGCUCCGCUCGCCGCUGGGCCUGAGCGCGCGCGGUGCGGGGACCACGCCUGCGGGGACGCCACCGCGCCCAGAGGACGCGGCGGCAGCGCCGGAAGGAAGGAGAAAGCCGAGGCCGAGACGCCGGCAGGGGGCGAGGGCGCCACCACCUUCCGGCCCCUUUCACUCUCCCGCCUCUGCCUUGCCCCCGAGCCCGAUCGUGCGCGCCCCCGAGCUCCGUGCGCGCCGCCGGCAGGGGAGGAGGGAGGAGAGGAGCAGAGGAGGAGGCCCCGCCUGCAAAGGGGUCGCUAAUCCCGCGCGCAGCAACCGCACCUCCCUUCCUGCAGCGCAGAGCGCCUUCCGCCUAGCGGAGCUGGCGCCUUCCCGCUGGUCAGAAGCUGUUUUUCGUCUUCCAUGCCCCUCUGCCAUAUGCUGCUCUGCCUGUGGACAGAAACCUCUGCAAACUGAGAGCCAAAAUCAACCUUUCGAGUACCUUUUUUGGUUGUCAACAGAGUAUGUGCCAUCAUCUGUGCAUUUCCACUGUUAAAGGUUAGUCUUAGAACCCACAGGUGUUUUUUUGGCAUCUCUUCUGGAUAUCAGAGCACUCUGAGAUAUGACUGUCAAGACUUGAAUGGACAAAUAUAGGUGGGAGAAAAACUGAGAAGUAAAUUUGGACCUUCAGUGGGGCAUAGCCUAUUAUUCAGGAUCCAAGCUCUGCGAAUCAGCCCACAUGGACUCAGAUCCUCCAAACAAGCUGCAUCUUAUUGGAGAUCCUGCAGACCCUGUGACAGUGACUGUCCACAGCAUUGGGACUGUACAGAGAUGGAAAGCUGUGAGCCAGAUGAUCUCGGGCUUGGACUCUUUAGCUGCCAUUUUCUCUCAACUUGGAUAUCUGACCUAGCGUCCUGGUGACCUCUGAGCUAUUUCCGUAAGCUUAGCAGACCUCCAGCCUCCACUAGCCCAAAAGUGAACAAUGCUGUGAGGUAACGUCAGAAGCCUAGGGAAAGGACCUCCCUGCUUUGUUUGCCCACCUCUCUGAUGUUCCCCCCAUGCAUUUAUUGAACAUACUGGCUGUGACUUUCUUUUGCUCUGUGGCUAUGAAAGUUCUUGUGUCAGGAUCUAGGACAAGGUCACUGCUUCUCAUGAGUUUGGUGGGGCCCCUUGAGACGUGUAUGCCAGCUCAGGCAUACACAGUGUCUUGGCCUCCCCCUGCGAUAAUACAGACAGCUCCUCUCUUGUUCCCCAGGCCAAGGCAUGAUGUUUGGUUGAAGAUGAAAUGUUCUUCCUGUUCUGAAUCUUAAAUUAUCCCCUUAAGUUCUCUGUGAACAUGAGUCUUCUGCUGAUCCGUUAGGUAAAUGCUCUACAGGCGUUGGGCAGGUCCUUUCUCCCAUCAGGAGCAGCCCGGCUGACUGUGGCUUUCUGCAUCUUGACUUUUCUUUUCCUCAUCCUCCACUGUGCUCCCUCAGGAGUUUUAGAACUGUGGCAUUCAUGUCCUUCAGGGGAGCAUGAAUCCAUGUCCAUGGUUACUUAUAGUUGGCUCAAAAUAAACUAUUUUUAAGUUUUCCUUUAAA
This is an RNA transcript of Cavia porcellus (domestic guinea pig), 2016 nucleotides long. It is a transcript of the gene named nascent polypeptide-associated complex subunit alpha, muscle-specific form-like, with no coding region annotated. The transcript has 4 exons. The record is from RefSeq and is a predicted model, not a curated record. Lineage: Eukaryota; Metazoa; Chordata; Mammalia; Rodentia; Caviidae.